Molecule: transfer RNA, 82 nt
Organism: Acidovorax sp. RAC01
Lineage: Bacteria; Pseudomonadati; Pseudomonadota; Betaproteobacteria; Burkholderiales; Comamonadaceae
Rfam family: tRNA
About the family: Transfer RNA (tRNA) molecules are approximately 80 nucleotides in length. Their secondary structure includes four short double-helical elements and three loops (D, anti-codon, and T loops). Further hydrogen bonds mediate the characteristic L-shaped molecular structure. tRNAs have two regions of fundamental functional importance: the anti-codon, which is responsible for specific mRNA codon recognition, and the 3' end, to which the tRNAs corresponding amino acid is attached (by aminoacyl-tRNA synthetases). tRNAs cope with the degeneracy of the genetic code in two manners: having more than one tRNA (with a specific anti-codon) for a particular amino acid; and 'wobble' base-pairing, i.e. permitting non-standard base-pairing at the 3rd anti-codon position.
Source: Rfam
GCCCGGGUGGUGAAAUUGGUAGACGCAGGGGACUCAAAAUCCCCCGCCGCAAGGCGUGCCGGUUCGAUUCCGGCCCCGGGCA